Small nuclear RNA from Peromyscus californicus insignis, 103 nucleotides. NCBI's taxonomy places the organism in Eukaryota, Metazoa, Chordata, Mammalia, Rodentia, Cricetidae. The record is from RefSeq and is a predicted model, not a curated record.
GUCCCUUCCCUGGGAUAUCUAUUAAAUGUGAACAACAUAGAGAAUUUUGGCAUGACCACUGUGAAAAGAUGACACAUAAAAAUGCAAAACAUUCCUUAUGUAA